CUUUUCUAGAAUACUCCAUAUCCCAAUCAAUUAGGAUCUGUAAUUCCCCCUAAUAGAAACCUAACUCAACCCCUCCUGGAUGAAAUUUUGAGUACUUCAGUAAACUAGUAAUUUUCGCAUCAACACUUUCUUCUUCAUUCUCUUCUUCUUUUAGGUAAUAUUUGGUAGGAUGUAAUGGAAUUGAAGGUACUCAGAAAUGUAAUGGAAUGGAACAAGCUACUUCUUGAAUAAUUCUCAAUGAGAUACGUAGAUUGCAUUUUUUUUAAUUAAUAUUAUCCCCAACCAUCCUAUGUAGAUUGCAUUUUUUUUAUUAAUAUUAUCCCCAACCAUCCUAUGUAGAUUGCAUUUUUUUUAUUAAUAUUAUCCCCAACCAUCCUAUGUAGAUUGCAUUUUUUUU
This 397-nucleotide unclassified non-coding RNA is filed under the name Hevea brasiliensis (rubber tree). The record is from RNAcentral. Lineage: Eukaryota; Viridiplantae; Streptophyta; Magnoliopsida; Malpighiales; Euphorbiaceae.